UUAGAUGUCCGGGGCCGCACGCGCGCUACACUGAAGGAAUCAGCGUGUGCUUACCCCUGUCCGGCAGGAUUGGGUAACCCGUUGAACCUCCUUCGUGAUAGGGAUAGGGGCUUGUAAUUAUUCCCCUUGAACGAGGAAUUCCCAGUAAGCGCGAGUCAUAAGCUCGCGUUGAUUACGUCCCUGCCCUUUGUACACACCGCCCGUCGCUACUACCGAUUGAAUGAUUUAGUGAGGUCUUCGGACUGGUGCUCGGAGCGGCUUUCGGGUCGCGCCGGUGUACCGGAAAGAUGACCAAACUUGAUCAUUUAGAGGAAGUAAAAGUCGUAACAAGGUUUCC
RNAcentral lists this ribosomal RNA (337 nucleotides) under Stylocellus sp. Borneo 6b. RNAcentral's name for it is "SSU rRNA". It matches the Rfam family "Eukaryotic small subunit ribosomal RNA", at positions 1473 to 1804 of the family's 1831-position model. Lineage: Eukaryota; Metazoa; Arthropoda; Arachnida; Opiliones; Stylocellidae. The record is from RNAcentral. RNAcentral also lists the same sequence under 1 other name.